AAUGAACGUUGGCGGCGUGGAUUAGGCAUGCAAGUCGAGCGAGAACCCCGCAAGGGGGGACAGCGGCGAAAGGGACAGUAAUGUGUAGAUUAUCUGCCCUCAGGUCCGGGAUAGCUGCGGGAAACCGCAGGUAAUACCGGAUAACAUCUCCGGAUCAAAGGUGUGAUUCCGCCUGAGGAUGAGUCUGCAUCCUAUUAGCUAGUUGGUGGGGUAAUGGCCUACCAAGGCAUUGAUGGGUAGCAGGUGUGAGAGCACGACCUGCGUCAUUGGGACUGAGACACUGCCCAGACACCUACGGGUGGCUGCAGUCGAGAAUCUUCGGCAAUGGGCGCAAGCCUGACCGAGCGACGCCGCGUGUGGGAUGAAGGCCUUCGGGUUGUAAACCACUGUCAGAGGGGAUGAAAUGCAGGUGGGUUCUCCCAUCUGUUUGACAUAGCCUCAGAGGAAGGACGGGCUAAGUUCGUG
Molecule: ribosomal RNA, 465 nt
Filed under: uncultured bacterium
Lineage: Bacteria
Description: partial 16S ribosomal RNA
Rfam family: Bacterial small subunit ribosomal RNA
Source: RNAcentral